AGGCUUCCCAUUCCCGACCGAGCACCUAUAUCGGUUUUGCCGGGUUCGCCCGGCUAUGGCGAUAAAGUGCGGCGUGCAAUAGAUACAACGGACCCGGGGGCAGUACCCGGCGGCUCCACCACAACCGGCCACGGCUUUCAGCCAGACCGGUCAUGACGGGGCCGAAGCAGGAUCGACGUGUUUCGAAAAGCGCUGUUUUUUCCCGGGCUGAGUAACCUGUAAAAGGCUCAAAACCACAAGUGCAAACGAUAACGAAGCACUCGCGAUUGCAGCGUAACUCAAGGCCUAACGGUCUAGGUUACUAAGCUAAGCGCGGUUCGGGCCGCACCGGGCAACAGAAGCGGACACC
RNAcentral lists this transfer-messenger RNA (349 nucleotides) under Sphingomonas sp. It matches the Rfam family "Alphaproteobacteria transfer-messenger RNA". From Rfam's summary of the family: Bacterial tmRNA, also known as 10Sa RNA or SsrA, is named for its dual tRNA and mRNA-like properties. RNAcentral also lists the same sequence under 1 other name. The record is from RNAcentral. Lineage: Bacteria; Pseudomonadati; Pseudomonadota; Alphaproteobacteria; Sphingomonadales; Sphingomonadaceae.